This 301-nucleotide ribosomal RNA is filed under the name uncultured bacterium. RNAcentral describes it as "partial 16S ribosomal RNA". It matches the Rfam family "Bacterial small subunit ribosomal RNA", at positions 509 to 807 of the family's 1533-position model. The record is from RNAcentral.
CAGCAGCCGCGGGAAUACGAAGGGUGCAAGCGUUACUCGGAAUUACUGGGCGUAAAGCGUGUGUAGGUGGUUGUUUAAGUCUGUCGUGAAAGCCCUGGGCUCAACCUGGGAAUUGCGAUGGAUACUGGGCGACUAGAGUGUGGUAGAGGAUAGUGGAAUUUCCGGUGUAGCAGUGAAAUGCGUAGAGAUCGGAAGGAACAUCUGUGGCGAAGGCGACUAUCUGGGCCAACACUGACACUGAGACACGAAAGCGUGGGGAGCAAACAGGAUUAGAUACCCCAGUAGUCCCUGUCUCUUAUAC